AACGAACGCUGGCGGCAUGCCUAGCACAUGCAAGUCGAACGAGAUCUUCGGGUCUAGUGGCGCACGGGUGCGUAACGCGUGGGAAUCUGCCCUUUGGUUCGGAAUAACAGUUGGAAACGACUGCUAAUACCGGAUGAUGACGAAAGUCCAAAGAUUUAUCGCUAGAGGAUGAGCCCGCGUAGGAUUAGCUAGUUGGUGUGGUAAAGGCGCACCAAGGCGACGAUCCUUAGCUGGUCUGAGAGGAUGAUCAGCCACACUGGGACUGAGACACGGCCCAGACUCCUACGGGAGGCAGCAGUGGGGAAUAUUGGACAAUGGGCGAAAGCCUGAUCCAGCAAUGCCGCGUGAGUGAUGGAGGCCUUAGGGUUGUAAAGCUCUUUUACCCGGGAUGAUAAUGACAGUACCGGGAGAAUAAGCUCCGGCUAACUCCGUGCCAGCAGCCGCCGUAA
RNAcentral lists this ribosomal RNA (449 nucleotides) under uncultured bacterium. RNAcentral describes it as "partial 16S ribosomal RNA". It matches the Rfam family "Bacterial small subunit ribosomal RNA", at positions 29 to 523 of the family's 1533-position model. The record is from RNAcentral.